GACGAACGCUGGCGGCGCGCCUAACACAUGCAAGUCGAACGGAGUCAAGAGGAGCUUGCUUUUCUUGACUUAGUGGCGAACGGGUGAGUAACGCGUGAGUAACCUGCCCUGGAGUGGGGGACAACAGUUGGAAACGACUGCUAAUACCGCAUAAGCCCACGGAUCCGCAUGGAUCUGCGGGAAAAGGAUUUAUUCGCUUCAGGAUGGACUCGCGUCCAAUUAGCUAGUUGGUGAGGUAACGGCCCACCAAGGCGACGAUUGGUAGCCGGACUGAGAGGUUGAACGGCCACAUUGGGACUGAGACACGGCCCAGACUCCUACGGGAGGCAGCAGUGGGGGAUAUUGCACAAUGGGGGAAACCCUGAUGCAGCGACGCCGCGUGGAGGAAGAAGGCUUUCGGAUUGUAAACUCCUGUCGUUAGGGACGAUAAUGACGGUACCUAACAAGAAAGCACCGGCUAACUACGUG
Molecule: ribosomal RNA, 468 nt
Filed under: uncultured bacterium
Lineage: Bacteria
Description: partial 16S ribosomal RNA
Rfam family: Bacterial small subunit ribosomal RNA
Source: RNAcentral